AUGUCUGGUGCGGUUGUGACGCCGCAGCCGGAGGUGGUGGAAGAGGGGCAUCGGUCGUCGCCGGUGAAGUGUGAGCUCCUCCGCACCAACUCCCCACUGGCGCAGGUGUGCCUGAUCGGCCUCGUGUGCUUCUGCUGCCCUGGCAUGUUCAACGCGCUCUCGGGCAUCGGCGGCGGCGGCCAGGUUGACCACACCGUCGCCGACAACGCCAACACCGCCCUCUACGCCUGCUUCGCCGUCUUCGGCAUCUUGGGCGGCGCGGCUCACAACCUCUUGGGCCCACGCACCACCCUACUCCUCGGCGCUCUCGCUUGCCCGCUCUACGACGCCUCCUUCCUCUACUACAACCUUGACUACAACCACCGUCGCUCCAUGGCCUUCCCGGUAGCCGCAGGGGCCAUCCUCGGCGCCGGCGCGGGCCUCCUUUGGGCCGCCCAGGGUGCAAUCAUAACCGCCUACCCGCCUCCGAACCGCCGCGGCACGUACAUUUCCAUUUUCUGGUGCCUCUACAAUUUCGGAGGCGUCUUUGGGGGGCUCUUCCCCUUCCGCUCAACUACCACCGUGGCAGCGAAUCAACCUGUGGUUGAGUUGGUUAGGUGGACAGUGGUUUCCCCAACCCACCAGGGUUCAAAUCCUACGAUGCCGGUAAACGACGGCACCUACGUCGCAUUCAUGGCGUUCGUGCUCCUCGGAAGCGCGCUCGCCCUCCUCAUCCUACCGCCUAGCAAGAUCACCCGUGACGAUGGGAGCAAGGUCGCGGGGGUCGCCUACUCCUCCGUAGCCAAUGCUUCUUGUGCUCCCCGCGGACUCCGCACCCAGGGCCUUAACAAUGUAUUCUACUGGGGUGCACGGAUGAUCGGCUCCGCCGGCAUCGGUUACUUCCUCGACUUUGGGUUUGCGAGCCGUAGGAAGAGGGGAUUCAUUGGGGUGAUUAUCGUCGCCAGACUCAGCACCGCCAUUUGGGGAGGAGGCCUCGCCAACCAACUCAGAUACAAGGACGGGAAGUGGGAGGACCUCAUCGAUUUCAAGGAUGGACGCCGGUACGCCGGCCCAUUUCUGCUCCUCGUCUACUGGAUCAUUGCGGCCCUCUCAGAUGACCCACGGGUCCUCAGUAGGUAUAUCGGAUUCUACAAUGGGGCGCAAAGUGCAGGGGCGACUGUUGCAUGGCAGGUGGACAGGCACAAGACGUCCUUGAUAUCCCAACUGUUCAUUAACUGGGGACUUAUGACUCUCAGUUGCCCCUUGCUCGCCCUACUGGUGUUCUUGGCCGUAAAGGAUGAAGCCAAUACGAUGGUUGUAAAGGAUAAAGACAGUUUAGUUCCCUAG
This 1326-nucleotide ribosomal RNA is filed under the name Triticum aestivum (bread wheat). RNAcentral describes it as "partial small subunit ribosomal RNA". Lineage: Eukaryota; Viridiplantae; Streptophyta; Magnoliopsida; Poales; Poaceae. The record is from RNAcentral.